GUGCUUGCUUUGGCAGCACAUAUACUAAAAUUGGAAAGAUACAGGGAAGAUUAGCAUGGCCCCUGCACAAGGAUGACAUACAAAUUUGUGAAGUGUUCCAUAUAAAA
Molecule: small nuclear RNA, 107 nt
Filed under: Propithecus coquereli (Coquerel's sifaka)
Lineage: Eukaryota; Metazoa; Chordata; Mammalia; Primates; Indriidae
Source: RNAcentral